This 474-nucleotide ribosomal RNA is filed under the name uncultured bacterium. RNAcentral describes it as "bacterial SSU rRNA". It matches the Rfam family "Bacterial small subunit ribosomal RNA", at positions 8 to 474 of the family's 1533-position model. The record is from RNAcentral.
AGAGUUUGAUCAUGGCUCAGAUUGAACGCUGGCGGCAUGCUUAAUACAUGCAAGUCGAACGGUAACAGAUUCUUCGGAAUGCUGACGAGUGGCGGACGGGUGAGUAAUACAUAGGAAUCUGCCCAUGUAGUGGGGGACAACUUGGGGAAACUCAAGCUAAUACCGCAUAAUUCCUACGGGAUAAAGAGGGCCACUGCUUGCAAGCUCUUGCUACUGGAUGAGCCUAUGUCGGAUUAGUUAGUUGGUAAGGUAAUGGCUUACCAAGACAGCGAUCUGUAGCUGGUUUGAGAGGAUGAUCAGCCACACUGGGACUGAGACACGGCCCAGACUCCUACGGGAGGCAGCAGUAGGGAGUAUUGGACAAUGGGCGCAAGCCUGAUCCAGCAAUGCCGCGUGUGUGAAGAAGGCCUGCGGGUUGUAAAGCACUUUCAAUUGGGAAGAAAGAUUAUGAGUUAAUACCUUAUAAUAUUGACG